CUUGACCUUUCGACAACAAAACAUUACUUUUAAGAGACAAAAAACACUAAACCUAAUAAUCCCAAUGCCUUCAUAUUGCGUCAUUUCACUCCAACUUUAAUGGGAUAAGAUGAUUUUAACAUUUUAUUGAGAAACAAAACAAAAUAAAUCACACAUUACAACUACUGGUUCAAACAAAACAGCUGUGCAAACUCUGAAAACAGAACACUGUGGCCAGCAAGGUGACUCAAAUGUUUCUUUGUUUGUGUGGAUUAAGCAAUAACAGGUUUAUAUACCAGUGUAUAUGAAGAGUCCUGUCAAUGCCUCCAUGAAUCACUUCAGAGACGUUACAUGAAUGAAAGAGAUGAGUGUUUGAAUGGCCUGAUUAACUUGGACAUUUUAAUCCACUAUCUAAUCCAUCAGAGAAGACAUGGACGACUAGCAGCCACAACCACUCCGCUAAUCACAUUCACAAGCUUUCAAAGAGGGGUGACAGAGGAGACGGCGACUGUCCGCUGACAGAGGAGACGGCGACUGUCCGCUGACAGAGGAGACGGCGACUGUCAACUGACAGAGGAGACGGCGACUGUCAACUGACAGAGGAGACGGCGACUGUCCUCUGACAGAGGAGACGGCGACUGUCCGCUGACAGAGGAGACGGCGACUGUCCGCUGACAGAGGAGACGGCGACUGUCCGCUGACAGAGGAGACGGCGACUGUCCGCUGACAGAGGAGACGGCGACUGUCCGCUGACAGAGGAGACGGCGACUGUCCGCUGACAGAGGAGACGGCGACUGUCCGCUGACAGAGGAGACGGCGACUGUCCUCUGACAGAGGAGACGGCGACUGUCCUCUGACAGAGGAGACGGCGACUGUCCGCUGACAGAGGAUACGGCGACUGUCAACUGACAGAGGAGACGGCGACUGUCCUCUGACAGAGGAGACGGCGACUGUCCUCUGACAGAGGAGACGGCGACUGUCCGCUGACAGAGGAGACGGCGACUGUCCGCUGACAGAGGAGACGGCGACUGUCCGCUGACAGAGGAGACGGCGACUGUCCGCUGACAGAGGAGACGGCGACUGUCCGCUGACAGAGGAGACGGCGACUGUCCGCUGACAGAGGAGACGGCGACUGUCAAUUGACAGAGGAGACGGCGACUGUCCGCUGACAGAUGUAACCCGGAUCAGUGCCCCACUUGCAUUACCAGAUUUGAAACACCUGAGCGCUCUUAUUUUGGUGGGGCCAGUUCCCUAUAUUAACAUCCGGGUCACAUAGCCACUUCCUGUCAUCCAUGCUCUGGCUGUUGCUGAUCUGCUGUGGCUGGCUGCAUCUCCUAUAGCUGUCGGCUAUCUAAACUUGAAACAAAACUCUGUAACAUCUUACUGGACUAGUUCUUCGAACAACCACACCUUGAACUAACUACUCUUCGGUCAGGUUUUUUUUCCACCCCCACUUCUAUCCUUAUUGGAAGAACUUUUUGAUCUGCACCAUAUAGGAAUGGUGCAUGGCGAGCUACCCACGAACUCUCAAUGAAAAACUUGAUUUACGAACCUAGGAAAAAGGAACUUCGCAAAAGACGCCAUACCCAAAGGAAAAAGGAACUUUGAACACCAAAGACUGAAAAAUAUCCUUGUGGAUCCCUGGACACUCCUUUCUACAGUGUCUAAAAUUAUUGUUUUGUUAUUUGUUUUCUUUGUUUAAAUACAGUCAAUUGAUUGCUUU
Oryzias latipes (Japanese medaka) is the source of this 1702-nucleotide long non-coding RNA. RefSeq lists it as uncharacterized. The record is from RefSeq and is a predicted model, not a curated record. NCBI's taxonomy places the organism in Eukaryota, Metazoa, Chordata, Actinopteri, Beloniformes, Adrianichthyidae.